AGAAUCAACGCUGGCGGCGUGCCUAACACAUGCAAGUCGAACGCGAAAGGGGCUUCGGCCCUGAGUAGAGUGGCGAACGGGUGAGUAACACGUGGGUGAUCUACCUUUGAGUGGGGGAUAACGUCCCGAAAGGGACGCUAAUACCGCAUGACGUUCUGGGUUUAAAGACCUGGAAACCAAAGCCGGGGACCGCAAGGCCUGGCGCUUGAAGAGGAGCCCGCGUCCGAUUAGCUAGUUGGCGGGUAACGCCCACCAAGGCGACGAUCGGUA
RNAcentral lists this ribosomal RNA (270 nucleotides) under uncultured soil bacterium. RNAcentral's name for it is "partial 16S ribosomal RNA". It matches the Rfam family "Bacterial small subunit ribosomal RNA", at positions 26 to 285 of the family's 1533-position model. The record is from RNAcentral.